RNAcentral lists this ribosomal RNA (399 nucleotides) under Oenococcus oeni. RNAcentral's name for it is "bacterial SSU rRNA". It matches the Rfam family "Bacterial small subunit ribosomal RNA", at positions 468 to 865 of the family's 1533-position model. The record is from RNAcentral. Lineage: Bacteria; Bacillati; Bacillota; Bacilli; Lactobacillales; Lactobacillaceae.
CUUGACGGUACCUUACCAGAAAGGGAUGGCUAAAUACGUGCCAGCAGCCGCGGUAAUAYGUAWGUCCCGAGCGUUAUCCGGAUUUAUUGGGCGUAAAGCGAGCGCMGACGGUUUAUUAAGUUUGAUGUGAAAUCCCGAGGCCCAACCUCGGAACUGCAUUGGAAACUGAUUUACUUGAGUGCGAUAGAGGCAAGUGGAACUCCAUGUGUAGCGGUGAAAUGCGUAGAUAUGUGGAAGAACACCAGUGGCGAAAGCGGCUUGCUAGAUCGUAACUGACGUUGAGGCUCGAAAGUAUGGGUAGCAAACGGGAUUAGAUACCCCGGUAGUCCAUACCGUAAACGAUGGGUGCUAGUUGUUAAGAGGUUUCCGCCUCCUAGUKACGUAGCAAACGCAUUAAGC